This 241-nucleotide ribosomal RNA is filed under the name uncultured bacterium. RNAcentral describes it as "partial 16S ribosomal RNA". It matches the Rfam family "Bacterial small subunit ribosomal RNA", at positions 109 to 334 of the family's 1533-position model. The record is from RNAcentral.
AGUAUCGCGUGGGUAAUCUACCUAGAGGUGGGGGAUAGCCUCGGGAAACCGGGGGUAAUACCGCAUGUGUCCUUGAUGACGAAAGUCGACUUGGGCAAAGGCGGGGCUCCUUCGGGACCUGUCGCCACUAGAUGAGCCCGCGUCCGAUUAGCUUGUUGGUGAGGUAAUGGCUCACCAAGGCUUCGAUCGGUAGCCGGCCUGAGAGGGUGAACGGCCACAUUGGGACUGAGACACGGCCCAG